This 354-nucleotide ribosomal RNA is filed under the name Triticum aestivum (bread wheat). RNAcentral's name for it is "partial small subunit ribosomal RNA". The record is from RNAcentral. Lineage: Eukaryota; Viridiplantae; Streptophyta; Magnoliopsida; Poales; Poaceae.
AGGUGGAAACCUCCAGUAGCAGGUAUGGUCAAAAUCAAUGUCGACGGAGGGCUAUCCCGUGAUGGCACCACUGGUGCUUCUGCCGCUGUUUGCCGGGAUGACGAAGGCCGGUUCCUAGGAUCCUCGUCAAUGGUGUUUACUGGAGUUACAGACCCUGCCUCUUUGGAGGCCUUAGCAUGUCGAGAAGCUCAAGCACUAGCCUUGGAUUUGAAUCUAGGCAAAGUCAUUAUUUCAUGCGAGAGCAAAGGGGUAGUGGACGACAUAAAAAAUGAUGCUCGUAGCAUGAACGGCACUAUCAUUCAUGAGAUCAGGGAGAACAAAUUGCUUUUUCAGGCUUGCAAAGUCAUUAUUUAA